RNAcentral lists this transfer RNA (67 nucleotides) under Calliptamus abbreviatus. Its description in RNAcentral is "tRNA-Tyr". It matches the Rfam family "tRNA". From Rfam's summary of the family: Transfer RNA (tRNA) molecules are approximately 80 nucleotides in length. The record is from RNAcentral. Lineage: Eukaryota; Metazoa; Arthropoda; Insecta; Orthoptera; Acrididae.
GGUAAGAUGGCUGAAUUUAUAGGUGGUAGACUGUAAAUCUACUUAUGAGAAUUAAUCUCUCUUACCA